CUCUCCAAAGAAUCGUUUAGGCUCAAGUCUCACAGGGUUGUAGCGUUAGUUUGAGUUACUUCCUUCAAGCAUGUUCCAAAAACUGAUUUUUUUCUUUGUGAUUAUAUGUGAAUUCGUAAACAACAACGAUGACCAAGCAUAAACAAAAGAGCAUAUCAAACUUCCAUCCAUGUUUGUAACGUUCUUUAACCGUCAUGCAAUUAAAAACCAAAUCCUCAUCAUUGUGUUGGAAGGUACUCUACGACACAAACAAACAAAAACAACUUUAAAACGACUCUUUUUUGGGUUUUUUCAAAACUUUUUCUAUUUUUUUCUUGAAUUUUCGGAUUUUCUGGUAAAGCCACAUAAAAACACAUCAAACUUUCUAAAAACACUUAAAAACAACCUUUGAAAUGUUAGGUGGUAAAAUCCUACGAAUUUUGACAUAAAAACACUUUGUUUACCCCCCAACACUUAAACCAAACAUUGUCCUCAAUGUUUCAAACAUAGACUCACACAAAAACAAGCAAAUAACACAACUAGCAAACAUGACAGAUAUGGCAAAGUAAAAGCAAUAAGGAGUAGGGUUUAGGAACGCAAAUCUGAUUAUGAUGCCAGAGCUUCCUAGGUCCUCUUUAUUUGCAUGGGUUGCCUCCCAAGAAGCGCUUGCUUGAACGUCUUCCAGCCAAACGAUGCUCCAUUGAAGGUUUAUGGAACCCCACGGCAUGGAGGGGUGUUUCCACAAUCUGACCUACGAAAUACUUCAUCUUUUGGGUCCUUGAAUGGGAUGGGAUAAUGAUCCUUUCUUAUUGUCAUGUUUUGCUUCUCUAAAUCAACACGAA
This 821-nucleotide long non-coding RNA is filed under the name Malus domestica (apple). RNAcentral's name for it is "long non-coding RNA (MDOM_LNC020751)". Lineage: Eukaryota; Viridiplantae; Streptophyta; Magnoliopsida; Rosales; Rosaceae. The record is from RNAcentral.